UGAUUCACUGAUCACUGAUGUGCUUGC
Molecule: non-coding RNA, 27 nt
Filed under: Bombyx mori (domestic silkworm)
Lineage: Eukaryota; Metazoa; Arthropoda; Insecta; Lepidoptera; Bombycidae
Source: RNAcentral